Molecule: long non-coding RNA, 3689 nt
Filed under: Mus musculus (house mouse)
Lineage: Eukaryota; Metazoa; Chordata; Mammalia; Rodentia; Muridae
Description: long non-coding RNA chr18:38485614-38489303
Source: RNAcentral
GGGAUCAGUCCUUGAGAUUUAAUACACAAAGGGUAUAUACGUGUAUGUGUGUGUGUGUGUGUGUGUGUGUGUGUGUGUGUGUGUAAGAGAGAAGUAACUGUUGGGCAUCUCUCCCCAGUUGUUGUCCACCUAGUUUACUUUUAAGUUUUGUUUUGUGUAUGGUGUUUGCACACCUGUGUAUAGACAGACGCAGGAGCACAGGCCAAAGGAGGGCAUUGGGUGUUACCCUCGGCUUUAUUCCUUUGAAACAAAGUCUCUCCCUGAACCUGAAGCUUUUUUUUUUUUUCAGCUAGACUGACAGCUUACGAGUCACAGCAGUCCUCCUGUUCCCGCUCCCCACAGACCUGCAGCUACAGGCCCACUGGAGACCAUGUCCAGCUUGCUACCUGGGUGCUGAGAUUUGAACCCAGGUCCUCAUGGUUGUGCUGCAAGGGCUCUCAGCCAUCUCUCAGUCCUCCAAGAGAAAAAUUUAAAAGCCUGUUUCCCUUUAUCUCUUUUAAUUAGUGUAUUAAAUAGUGUGUGUGUGUGUGUGUGUGUGUGUAUGUGUGUGUGUGUGUGAGCAUGCACACGCAAGUAUGAGUGUGAAAUUCAGAGGCCAGUUUUUGGAAGCCAGCUCUCUUCUACCAGCUUAUGUGGGUUCUGGGGAUCCCCACUCUCCCAUCUCUGCCUGCUGCCAGGACAACUUGACGAGAGGCACCAUGCCCGGCCAUUAAUCUGUUCUCUGUCACUAGUCCUUUGCCUGGGGGUACCCUGGGUGCCACAUUUGCACAUUGUGUACACUCCAUUUGUACACACACCACUGGAACCAGGAACAUUUGCUCAUGCUUGCUGGCCUUUUUUAAAAGGCAAACUCUUAAAGUAUGUUAUAAGCUAUGUGUGAUUUCCCUGAACAUUUCCAUGUGCGUGUGUCAGAUGUUAAGAGUGUGUUCCUUGGUGGCUUCUGUGCUGUAUCAGAGCAUAGAAAUGCCGCAAAUGCCAUGAGAUACCAGAUCCACAUCUGCAUUUCUUCAGUGUCCCCACAAAUAUCUCCUACAGCUGACUUGUCCAAAUCAGGACCAGAUAGAGAGCCUGGUAGUUACGGCUUUUAAGAUACUUUUAUUGACGAACAUGCCUGGCUCCUUUCCCUCCUUCUCCUUCUAUAUGAUAUCAGACACUGCCUUGUUAAGAUACCGGGCAGGUUGCCUGCUCCUGUGGGGUGGGUCUGCCUGUCUCCCGAGAUGUUUGACUCCUCCCAUCCAUCGCCCCCCUUCAGAGAGGCCUGAAGUUAGGGUUAAGAGCUUAAUUCUGUUCAGAAUGGCCACACGCCCCACUUCCUGGAACCUCCCAUUAAGAGGCAUAUCUUGUUUGCCCCUGCUGUUCUGACGAUGUCUAGAGUAAGAAGGUCCAGUCAGUGUCAAAUUACUUUUGCCAUUUGUUCUACUUGCAGCCGACACACAACACAGUGCAGGGGACAGGGCUUUGGUACCACCUGAAUAUCCAGUUCACCAAAGACAAGAUUUAACCAAUAGCAUUUGAGUCCUUUAUUAUCCCUGAAGGAAUCCUCUGUUUUGUCGGGGCUUCGCAAAAGUGACCUCCUAAUGAUUGGCCUUUCUAUACUGUAAUCUUGAAUCUGUAAAAGAAGACCAGCCCUCUCUUAUUACCCUGAAAUUUAGUUCUUCCUGGCAAGUUGGGAUAAAGGCUGAAUUCCUGAGUUUCCAAGGGUAACCCUGGUCUUUAGGAGGCUGUAGAAUGAACGCGACUGGGGAGCUUGAGGGUCUCCAGAGGAAACUUCAUUUCCUCCACUUUCCCCUGAGAUCACCCCACUUUUUGGGAAACCAGCCAGAGGGACACACGUGUUCUCGAAAGUUCCCGAGUGCGAGCAUUUGUGGCAGGCAGCUGCAGAGCCCCCAGAGCUUUCCACCGAAGCAGAGAGGAAGGGUGUUAGACUUGGUUCCUUCCUCCCCGGAUGCUUAGGGUCCUCAUUCUUUUGGAAUGGGGGGUGGGGGUGGAUCUUUGGGGUGGGACUCUCAUCUCAGGGCUCUUCGCUCUGGCUCUGCUUUGAAGGGACAAGCUCCCGUCAGUCUUCUUUCCAAAUGGCCAUGCGUUUUCCAGUCUUUACUUACUUUGCCCUGACUAACAACAGGCCAAAGGGUUAUCUGUCCAACAUUCACCUAAUGGUAGGAAAGCGUCACCGGUGGUUCAGUUUAUUACCCAGCUGACCCUCCGAGGGACAACCUUAAAGAGCUCAUUGUUCAGUUUGAAUGACUGAUGCUCGCAUACAGAAAGUGGAGUGGGAAGCGUCAGCCCAAAUGGAUGUGUGGAAGCAAACACUAAACCCCCUAUCCUGAUCACCUAUUGGUCUCCUGCCAUAUAUUGAUCCAUUAGCCUCAAACGCCUCUCGGAGAUGGGUAGCAUCGUCCUAUAGUUCUGAUGAGAUAACUGCACAGCCUAUCCAGGGCCACUCGGCUCUUACACUCAGGCCCUGUGUGAGCCACGCCUGCAUUCCACCUAGCACCGGGUACUGUUUGUUCUCUUACCAAGUGUUCUGUGAAACAGGAGUAUAGAGAAAUGGGGCUGUCAUGGUUACUAUAUAACAUUGUUGCUUUGGGAUUUCCCCCAUUUCACAUGUAACUAUUGAAACAAUAUUGUGUUAACUAUGUAUUAAAUAUAUUGCAUAGUAAAGAAAAUCUUCAUAGGAAAAAAUAUGCCUUAUAACCACAGCACCUUAAUUUAAUAAGUGCUUUUAUUUUUAAAUAUCUCCCUCAGAUCUUUGCCCCUAGGCGUUGGUAUUCCUGCAUAGGACUGAUCAGCACAGAUGCUAUUUCAUGCUUUCUUGUUUGACUUUAUAUGCAUUAUAAAUAUUUUUAUGAAGCCCUUACAUUUUCAGGGUUACAGACUGGAUCCUACCUCACUGGGUAAGUACAGCAUUUACUUAGCCAAUCUAACUCGUGUAGGCCUCAUCUGGAUAGAUAUACAUUUCUGCUAGAAAAAGAAAAACAAAGUGAGGCUAGAGAGUUGGCUUAGCAGUUAAAAGCACUGACUGCUCUUCCAGAAGUCCUGAGUUCAAAUCCUUAGCACCCACAUGGUGGCUCACAGGGUCUAUAACUGUAUUCCUCGGAAUCCUAUGUCUUCUUCUGGUGUGCAGAUGUACAUGAAAAUCAAACACCCAUAUACAUCAAAUACACAAGGAAAUAAAUCUUUUUUUUUUUAAGUGAGAUUCUCUGUGGAUUUUUCUUUUGACCCUCUUGUAAAUUCUUAAGAGAAACUCCUAGGGGUUGGCUACCUGACUCAAAAAGCUAGACAUUCUUUGUUUUUUGAGAUAGGGUUUCUCUGUGUAUCCCUGACUGUCCUGGAACUCACUAUAUAAGACCAGGCUGGCCUGGAACUGUAGAAAUCUGACUGCCUCUGCCUCUGCCUCUGCCUCUGCCUCUGCCUCUGCCUCUGCCUCUGCCUCUGCCUCUGCCUCUGCCUCUGCCUCUGCCUCUGCCUCUGCCUCUGCCUCUGCCUCUGCCUCUGCCUCUGCCUCUGCCUCUGCCUCUGCCUCUGCCUCUGCCUCUGCCUCUGCCUCUGCCUCUGCUGAAAUUAAAGUUGUAUGCUCCCACCACCUGGUAAAGCUGAGCAUUUGAUGGUACUUGACAUGCGUUGCUAAGUUGCUCUCUGGAAGACUGUACCAUCGGGAGGCCAAGGCCUUGUCAAUGCUGGGUGGUGCC